UGAGGAAUAUUGGUCAAUGGGCGAGAGCCUGAACCAGCCAAGUAGCGUGAAGGAUGACGGCUCUAUGAGUUGUAAACUGCUUUUGUACGAGGGUAAACGCAGAUACGUGUAUCUGUCUGAAAGUAUCGUACGAAUAAGGAUCGGCUAACUCCGUGCCAGCAGCCGCGGUAAUACGGAGGAUCCGAGCGUUAUCCGGAUUUAUUGGGUUUAAAGGGAGCGUAGAUGGAUGUUUAAGUCAGUUGUGAAAGUUUGCGGCUCAACCGUAAAAUUGCAGUUGAUACUGGAUAUCUUGAGUGCAGUUGAGGCAGGCGGAAUUCGUGGUGUAGCGGUGAAAUGCUUAGAUAUCACGAAGAACUCCGAUUGCGAAGGCAGCCUGCUAAGCUGCAACUGACAUUGAGGCUCGAAAGUGUGGGUAUCAAACAGGAUUAGAUACCCUGGUAGUCCACACGGUAAACGAUGAAUACUCGCUGUUUGCGAUAUACUGCAAGCGGCCAAGCGAAAGCGUUAAGUAUUCCACCUGGGGAGUACGCCGGCAACGGUGAAACUCAAAGGAAUUGACGGGGGCCCGCACAAGCGGAGGAACAUGUGGUUUAAUUCGAUGAUACGCGAGGAACCUUACCCGGGCUUAAAUUGCAGAUGAAUUACGGUGAAAGCCGUAAGCCGCAAGGCAUCUGUGAAGGUGCUGCAUGGUUGUCGUCAGCUCGUGCCGUGAGGUGUCGGCUUAAGUGCCAUAACGAGCGCAACCCUUAUCUUUAGUUACUAACAGGUCAUGCUGAGGACUCUAGAGAGACUGCCGUCGUAAGAUGUGAGGAAGGUGGGGAUGACGUCAAAUCAGCACGGCCCUUACGUCCGGGGCUACACACGUGUUACAAUGGGGGGUACAGAAGGCAGCUACCUGGUGACAGGAUGCUAAUCCCAAAAGCCUCUCUCAGUUCGGAUCGAAGUCUGCAACCCGACUUCGUGAAGCUGGAUUCGCUAGUAAUCGCGCAUCAGCCAUGGCGCGGUGAAUACGUUCCC
This 1017-nucleotide ribosomal RNA is filed under the name uncultured bacterium. RNAcentral describes it as "bacterial SSU rRNA". It matches the Rfam family "Bacterial small subunit ribosomal RNA", at positions 355 to 1375 of the family's 1533-position model. The record is from RNAcentral.